AACGAACGCUGGCGGCAUGCCUAACACAUGCAAGUCGAACGAGACCUUCGGGUCUAGUGGCGCACGGGUGCGUAACGCGUGGGAAUCUGCCCUUGGGUUCGGAAUAACUUCGGGAAACUGAAGCUAAUACCGGAUGAUGACGUAAGUCCAAAGAUUUAUCGCCCAAGGAUGAGCCCGCGUAGGAUUAGCUAGUUGGUGAGGUAAAGGCUCACCAAGGCGACGAUCCUUAGCUGGUCUGAGAGGAUGAUCAGCCACACUGGGACUGAGACACGGCCCAGACUCCUACGGGAGGCAGCAGUGGGGAAUAUUGGACAAUGGGCGAAAGCCUGAUCCAGCAAUGCCGCGUGAGUGAUGAAGGCCUUAGGGUUGUAAAGCUCUUUUACCCGGGAUGAUAAAUGACAGUACCGGGAGAAUAAAGCUCCGGCUAAACUCCGUGCCAGCAGCCGCGGUAAAGUGACUACUG
RNAcentral lists this ribosomal RNA (463 nucleotides) under uncultured bacterium. Its description in RNAcentral is "bacterial SSU rRNA". It matches the Rfam family "Bacterial small subunit ribosomal RNA", at positions 29 to 531 of the family's 1533-position model. The record is from RNAcentral.